RNAcentral lists this ribosomal RNA (497 nucleotides) under uncultured bacterium. RNAcentral's name for it is "partial 16S ribosomal RNA". It matches the Rfam family "Bacterial small subunit ribosomal RNA", at positions 28 to 507 of the family's 1533-position model. The record is from RNAcentral.
GAUGAACGCUGGCGGCGUGCCUAAUACAUGCAAGUCGAGCGAACAGACGAGGAGCUUGCUCCUCUGACGUUAGCGGCGGACGGGUGAGUAACACGUGGAUAACCUACCUAUAAGACUGGGAUAACUUCGGGAAACCGGAGCUAAUACCGGAUAAUAUAUUGAACCGCAUGAUUCAAUAGUGAAAGACGGUUUUGCUGUCACUUAUAGAUGGAUCCGCGCCGCAUUAGCUAGUUGGUAAGGUAACGGCUUACCAAGGCAACGAUGCGUAGCCGACCUGAGAGGGUGAUCGGCCACACUGGAACUGAGACACGGUCCAGACUCCUACGGGAGGCAGCAGUAGGGAAUCUUCCGCAAUGGGCGAAAGCCUGACGGAGCAACGCCGCGUGAGUGAUGAAGGUCUUCGGAUCGUAAAACUCUGUUAUCAGGGAAGAACAAAUGUGUAAGUAACUAUGCACGUCUUGACGGUACCUAAUCAGAAAGCCACGGCUAACUACGUG